Molecule: long non-coding RNA, 276 nt
Filed under: Elaeis guineensis (African oil palm)
Lineage: Eukaryota; Viridiplantae; Streptophyta; Magnoliopsida; Arecales; Arecaceae
Description: long non-coding RNA (EGUI_LNC011889)
Source: RNAcentral
ACUCCCUCGACUCCAGCUUCUCCGAUGCAGAUAAAUUUUUGCACCAACAGGAUUGGCGCUAGAGGAAGGGGCGUGUCUUCGCAGUACCCUUGUUCUUAAAGGAGCGCUCAAUGGGACCACCUCCGGUCGUCUUCUCCAGCAUCCUCUUCUCCUUCCUCCGCUAGAUCUUCGCCCGAUGCCUCCACGCAAAGCAUCCACACGAUGAUCCAUGACCUCCGCGGCCAGAUCUCAGGCUCCGACCUCACCUCCAGUCUUCCAGGCUCCUCCUCCUCCGGC